CACACGCCGGUCUUGGUCUUCCUGCAUUCCACUUUCUUUUGGUUCAGUUUGAGCUGCAGUUGCCAUCAUGAGACUGGGCGUGCUUCUACUCCUGUCGGUGCUUUGGACGGCGCAAGGAUUUCCUGCACGGAAUGGUUGCGUCGGAAGACCAGGCGGUCCCCCAGGUUUAGGCAAUCCAUCUUUCA
Long non-coding RNA from Penaeus monodon (black tiger shrimp), 185 nucleotides. RefSeq lists it as uncharacterized. The record is from RefSeq and is a predicted model, not a curated record. Lineage: Eukaryota; Metazoa; Arthropoda; Malacostraca; Decapoda; Penaeidae. The transcript is spliced from 3 exons.